AGCAGCCGCGGUAAUUCCAGCUCCAAUAGCGUAUAUUAAAGUUGUUGCAGUUAAAAAGCUCGUAGUUGAACUUCGGGGUUUACUCAUUGGUCAGGCUUAAUUGUCUGUACUGGUGAGAUGAAUCUCUACCUUCUGAGGAACUUUCAUGCCAUUUAUUUGGUGUGAUUGGAAAUCAGGACUGUUACUUUGAAAAAUUAGAGUGUUUAAAGCAGGCUAACGUCUGAAUACAUUAGCAUGGAAUAAUGAAAUAGGACGGAUUGAUUCUAUUUCGUUGGUUUCUAGGGUCACCGUAAUGAUUAAUAGGGAUAGUUGGGGGCAUUAGUAUUCAAUUGUCAGAGGUGAAAUUCUUGGAUUUAUUGAAGACUAACUACUGCGAAAGCAUUUGCCAAGGAUGUUUUCAUUAAUCAAGAACGAAAGUUAGGGGAUCGAAGACGAUCAGAUACCGUCGUAGUCUUAACCAUAAACUAUGCCGACUAGGGAUCGGACGAAGUUAAUUAAUAAUGACGCGUUCGGCACCUUA
RNAcentral lists this ribosomal RNA (520 nucleotides) under uncultured Diversispora. RNAcentral describes it as "SSU rRNA". It matches the Rfam family "Eukaryotic small subunit ribosomal RNA", at positions 569 to 1090 of the family's 1831-position model. The record is from RNAcentral. Lineage: Eukaryota; Fungi; Glomeromycota; Glomeromycetes; Diversisporales; Diversisporaceae.